CGCUCGUCGCGAGGACCGGGUGCUCCUCGUCGCUGCGGAUGACGGUGGCCUUCUCGUUCAUGACGAGCAUGAGCGCCC
This 78-nucleotide transfer RNA is filed under the name Agromyces rhizosphaerae. RNAcentral's name for it is "tRNA-Arg". Lineage: Bacteria; Bacillati; Actinomycetota; Actinomycetes; Micrococcales; Microbacteriaceae. The record is from RNAcentral.